GACGAGGGAUCCUAGCGUUGUUCGGAAUCAUUGGGCGUAAAGCGGGUGUAGGUGGCUCUGCAAGUCAAGUGUGAAAGCCCCGGGCUUAACCUGGGAAGUGCAUUUGAUACUGCUGAGCUUGAGUGCUGGAGAGGUCAUUAGAAUUCCUGGUGUAGUGGUGAAAUACGUAGAUAUCAGGAGGAAUACCGGAGGCGAAGGCGGAUGGCUGGCCAGACACUGACACUCAGACCCGAAAGCGUGGGGAUCAAACAGG
RNAcentral lists this ribosomal RNA (253 nucleotides) under uncultured Bdellovibrio sp. RNAcentral's name for it is "partial 16S ribosomal RNA". It matches the Rfam family "Bacterial small subunit ribosomal RNA", at positions 524 to 776 of the family's 1533-position model. The record is from RNAcentral. Lineage: Bacteria; Pseudomonadati; Bdellovibrionota; Bdellovibrionia; Bdellovibrionales; Pseudobdellovibrionaceae.